Molecule: long non-coding RNA, 447 nt
Organism: Herpailurus yagouaroundi (jaguarundi)
Lineage: Eukaryota; Metazoa; Chordata; Mammalia; Carnivora; Felidae
Exons: 2
Source: RefSeq, a predicted model, not a curated record
GGCCCACUGCUGACUUACCUACAAGCCCAUGGAGGUGACCUGUCGGGUUAGGUUGUUACGGCCAGGUGUUCCCAUGCUGGUUUCAGCCUGUCCCCAGUUGUAACCGUGCCAGCUCAGAAGAGGUCGUGCCUUGGAUGCACCACUCCAGAGCAAAAAUGGCACCCGCACCAGCGGCUCAGGAGGAGACGCCACCAGCACCAGAUGACAAAUACAAACACACCUGGGCGCCAUUCGCUGACCUGGCACUUCUGUCCCAGCGGCACCCAUGGAACGAAUAGGGGUCCUCACGUCUGUCCUGGAACCAUUUUACUCUGCACUAGCUCUGCUGUUCUAUUUCUUUAGUCCUAUUGUCCAUUCAAAAGCCCCUCGAGUGGAUGAAAUCAUUUCCUCUGCUGUUAUUCACCAUAAACACUCCAGCUCAUUGUUCAUACGUAGGAAAACAGCUGA